Non-coding RNA from Pelobates cultripes (western spadefoot toad), 658 nucleotides. NCBI's taxonomy places the organism in Eukaryota, Metazoa, Chordata, Amphibia, Anura, Pelobatidae. The record is from the annotation of a GenBank genome assembly.
GUAGAGGAGCAGUAUGCACAAGCCGGUGUUCUUAGACCAGCAAAGUGUCUGCAAAAUAUGACGGUAUCAAUCCUUCCCCAAUUGGAUCUUGUUCCAUACUGGUAGAAGGCUCCAGACACUUUUGCAGAAAAAGACCUAUGGUAGUCAUAAAAGGCUGAACCACCAUAUUUGUUGCCCAGAUCUACCAGCUUAUGCAUAUAAAGAUCAAACUCCUCUCUUCUAUUGGGAUAGACCGCACAGAUGACAUCCCGGUAAAUACCAAAGGCCAGUACAAACUCGGGGCUAGUCAGUUUCCUGUUUAGGCAGAUCUGACAACAACAGACACAUCAUCAUAAGCAUAAGUCUUAUUUUCCACAAUAUCCUGGGAGGCAAUCAGCAGGGAAGCCAGGUUGACUUCUUUACCUUCCAGGAUAUCUCUUUUUAUGUGCUCAGGGAUCAUAUGAGCAGGGCUAACUUCCUGGUCAUCCGGGGUGAUGGCUGGAGCAACCAAUAGCUAGUCGGCUGGUGCUUGUGAAGCAGCAGCGGGUGGCCCUGCUAGAGUAAGGGCCGUGGUGACCGACUCAAGUUUCUCCAGCCUGAAGUUGACCCUGCUCAUGGACGCCAUGAGUGAAGACAACAUGGAAUGUAUGUCUCCUGGGUUGGACUGGCUAGGUCCUUC